CAUAACAAGACUGUUCACCAUACUGGAAGAACUGAGCCCCCAAAGCAAACCAGUUUCGAUCUCUUGGGUGACAUGGAUGUCAUUAGGCAGUUGAAUGCGCAUGCGUACUCCAUCCAUUUCCUUCUCACCAUGCGGCCCCGGGUACUGGCAACCCAUGCUACACCACUGAUGAGGAGAACAUUCUGCUAGAAGCAAAGGUGGUACUCAAAACCACCUUGAGGACCUGGUCUAAAAUGCUGCACCUUCAAGAUCCUCCCUGGGAUUUUAGGAAUGUUGAGACGUGCUGCUUAUAAAGCCCUAAGUACAAGAUGGUCACGGACGGCUGGAAGGAGGCAUGUUCUAAUGGAAACAAAUCACUUGUCAGCGAGCAGCCUUCAAACUUUGAACAA
Podarcis muralis (Common wall lizard) is the source of this 389-nucleotide non-coding RNA. NCBI's taxonomy places the organism in Eukaryota, Metazoa, Chordata, Lepidosauria, Squamata, Lacertidae. The record is from RefSeq and is a predicted model, not a curated record.